This 76-nucleotide transfer RNA is filed under the name Parcubacteria group bacterium CG_4_10_14_0_2_um_filter_7_35_8. RNAcentral's name for it is "tRNA-Lys". It matches the Rfam family "tRNA". From Rfam's summary of the family: Transfer RNA (tRNA) molecules are approximately 80 nucleotides in length. Their secondary structure includes four short double-helical elements and three loops (D, anti-codon, and T loops). Further hydrogen bonds mediate the characteristic L-shaped molecular structure. tRNAs have two regions of fundamental functional importance: the anti-codon, which is responsible for specific mRNA codon recognition, and the 3' end, to which the tRNAs corresponding amino acid is attached (by aminoacyl-tRNA synthetases). tRNAs cope with the degeneracy of the genetic code in two manners: having more than one tRNA (with a specific anti-codon) for a particular amino acid; and 'wobble' base-pairing, i.e. permitting non-standard base-pairing at the 3rd anti-codon position. The record is from RNAcentral. RNAcentral also lists the same sequence under 1 other name.
GCCCUUGUAGCUCAAUUGGUAGAGCAGCUCCCUUUUAAGGAGUUGGUUCCGCGUUCGAGUCGCGGCAAGGGCACAA